Molecule: small nuclear RNA, 21 nt
Filed under: Arabidopsis thaliana (thale cress)
Lineage: Eukaryota; Viridiplantae; Streptophyta; Magnoliopsida; Brassicales; Brassicaceae
Description: snRNA_11846
Source: RNAcentral
AGUCGGGGGAAACCCGUCUGA